This 639-nucleotide long non-coding RNA is filed under the name Olea europaea (common olive). Its description in RNAcentral is "long non-coding RNA (OEUR_LNC003919)". The record is from RNAcentral. Lineage: Eukaryota; Viridiplantae; Streptophyta; Magnoliopsida; Lamiales; Oleaceae.
UUUCCUGUCCAAACGUGCCUUCACAGCACAUUAAAGAGAAAAUCUGCAUGCGCCUAUGUCGACCACAGAAUUUAAAUAAAUAAGAUCGUCUGAGGGCUUAAAGCUAAUCCAAUUAGCUUUCCCACAGCUAUAUAUACAUCAGUGUGUAUUUGAAAUCUGAACAGAUUCAUCUUUUUACAGACUUGUAUCUCCAUGGAUACUGGAAUGGAGCUUCAACUAUGCCAAUACAUGCCUUAUGUAAGCUGUUUAGAAUUAAUAUUUCAUUUUUGCGAUGUGGGGUGUAGUGGGGGCGGGGGCGAUCGAGAAGUGUCGAAUACUUGAAAAGGAGAAGCAUGACUACGUGAAUUUGGAAUUAUCAUUCAUGCAAGGGGAAUGAAGAACUCCUGGUCCGAUUAUCACUUCCUGUUAAGUUUUUAUUGUUAAUGAUUUGUGUUAUUUUGAAAUAUAUUUCAUAUUGUGCAAUUAAACUCAUCCAGUUGUGGAAAUGAAUUUAGAACCAAUAUAUGAGAAAUCUGAGGACGUAAUAAAUUUUCUGCUGUACUGCUGAAUUUUGUUAGAUUAUAAUUUUUCUUCAAUUAUGGUAGUUUAUCACUGUUUUCACCUUAUAUAUCUCUGAAGUACAAUAUAAUCUUGACCCCC